AUGAUGUAACCGUUUUUUCGAUAGGUUAAACACUGAAAAUAUUUAUUAUUGGUGAUAUACAGUGGUUUCCAACUUUAUAAAAAAUUCAGUUAUCAUCAACCAACAUAUGUUUGAUUGCAAAAAGGCGCUCAGUAUGUUGUUUUUGUCCUCUAGACUCCGAGUUUAUUUCAUCAAAAUAAAAUCCAAUACCACACAGAACGAUUGCCUUGUGACUCCCAAUUUAAUGUACUGCAAGAUUGGUUAACUAAAUGUGGUAGCCUAUUCCCCUUGCUCUUGUCUUUGACUAUGUAAUGUUUCCGGAACAACUUUUAAAUAUUUUUUAGUUAUUGACGAAUAAGCCAAAUGAGGACCUUAGGUUUGCUUUAAGUCUGUUUGUAUGUUCGGUAUUUUCCGAAUUUGUUCAAAUCAUACUUUAUCCCAUUUAUAAUGUAAUCGAUAGAUAUCAUAUCAUAACACUUUCAAAGUCGAGUUAUGGUUUAGUGAUUGCUGUCGAAAUUUUGGUCCUAGCACAGCUAGAAAAUCUCUCAUUUCUGUAACUCCGUGGUUUAAAAAACUUUCUUAAUCUCAAUAUUAUAGAUAUUAUAAACUUGAAGCGGUAAGAAAACAACCAGAUAUAAUUUUAAGUCACUUGGUUCUUACUUUCUUAUAUGUCAUCGAUACUAUCAUUUUAUCAAAAUUAUGAAAAUAAGCGAUUUUUCGAGGAUUUACCUCUAGGAAUGCUCUAAGAAUGACAUUUGAAUUUGAAUCUCAGAAUUCAUAAUAACUCUUGAACUUUAAAGAUGCCGUUGUUCUUUGUCGAUUUCGAACGACCAAUCACAAAUUGCCGAUUGAAACAGGAAGUGGCAACAUUACUGAGAGAAACCGUGUUUGCCAUCUAUUUAAAAAUCGACAAAUUGGUGACGAAUAUCACUUUAUAUUGGAAUGUACUUUUUUCGAUCAAAAACGUACAGAGUAUUUAUCCUCCUAUGUUGUACAACGACAUAAUACAUUUAAAUUUUCGGACCUUUUGUCGAGUACACGAAAACCAGUACUGAAGAAACUUUGUUUAUUUAUAAAAAAUAUUAAUACUUGUGUUUGUCCUCCUGACUAGUGACUUCUGUAACCUCUCUCCUUGUUUUGUAUAUAUUGUAAAUAGUUAUUGUUGUUAUCUCUGUACUGAUGUAAUGCAUUGGCUUUAUGAGAAUAAAGAAGAAGAUAUAACUAACUGCAAUAUGGACACUGACUAUACAAUGCCGUAUGGCAAAUACAGUUAAAAUGUGUAAACAUGUAAGCUAUUCGAAAGAUAGAAACUGUUUAAGUCAGAUAUUACAAAGGGAAAAUGUCAUUUCAAAUAUAUGUAUAUAAUUUAAAUGUUUAUAUCAUAGUAUUUAUUUUUGUUGGCGUUGAAUAACUAUUUAGUAAUCAGCCUUCAAUUGGUCGCUGUUUUAUUUAAUCAAUUUGCUAUUUAUCAACCUUGUAUAUCAAAGAACUAAAUCAUAUAAAUGUUGGAUCGAAAUUAUGAUUGUAUUUUUUUUUUUCGAAAUGGAAUUAUCUUAGAACAAAUCAGCUAUCUAAUUGAAAAUAUACAAUUUUCAGAAUAUUGACUCUUUUAUUUUAAGAAAUUUGACUUCAAAGUUCUCAACUGUGGACUAUUAUGCUAACGAAAUUGAACACAAAUUACAACUGAUAUGAAGUAAAAAAAAAAAAAAAAGCUCAAUACACUAAAUGUUUGCCUAUUUAACUUAACCUAUCUAUUGACUAAGGACCUUAAUAAGUCAAACGACACACAGUUUUAUAUUAGAAAAAAGAUGGAUUAAAUGGUUGUAAAAUAUAAAAUAAGAGAGCGACCACUUGAUAUGUUCAGUUUCUAAAUAUGUUUAAAUGGUUUGUUUAUUUUUGACAGUAUAUCCAUGAUAUAUAUCAUAUAGUUUUUUAUUGAUUGAGAUUAUAACACAAUGUUGACUGCUGUACUCUUUUUUUUUAACAUUUUUACCUAUAUUGUUUGUUUGUUCUGUUUACACAUUGUUGUCAAAAUAAUGCGACUGUCAUACAAGGGAGUGGUUUAGCUAGCUUUAAAUCAGGUUUUAUCCACCAGUUUCUACACCAGGAAAUGCCUGUACCAAGGCAAGAAUAUGACAGUUGUUUUCCAUUCAUUGAUGUGUUUGAGCUUUUGUUUUUGCCAAUUGUUUUUGAGAUUUCCUUGGAGUUUGGUAUUUUUGUUGUUUUACUUUAUUCAGAUAUAUUAUUUUUAUUGAUAUUCAUAAUCUUAUCUUUUUUAGUAUCAGUAAACUUCUUCUUUAUUUUGGAUUUAAAUAUUAUUCAUUCGGUAUCAUCGUGGAAGUAUAUUUUUUUUUCAAGACAUAAAUUAAAAAUCAUAGACAGUGAUUGAAAGAUUACAAUUUAAAUUUAAUAUAAAAAAAAACAGAUUGGCGAUUCAUAAUCGGAAUUGGGUGCAGAACAAAAUUCUUCUUUGUAGUUGAAAAAUGAACUAGUGUUGUUUUCUUUUAAUCAUAAUAUGUAUACAUUAAAUAGAUAGAUGGAUUGGUUUAAACAGUAUAAUUAUGUUUCGUAUAUUUACUUUCAGAAAUAGCAAUGCUAUUAUAACAUGUAUAAUGCAUAUUUUUGUACGUUUUAUACUUUUUAAAUUAACAUCUAUUAUAUCAGUA
Molecule: long non-coding RNA, 2645 nt
Filed under: Mytilus galloprovincialis (Mediterranean mussel)
Lineage: Eukaryota; Metazoa; Mollusca; Bivalvia; Mytilida; Mytilidae
Source: RNAcentral